Molecule: RNA transcript, 3235 nt
Organism: Zingiber officinale
Lineage: Eukaryota; Viridiplantae; Streptophyta; Magnoliopsida; Zingiberales; Zingiberaceae
Gene name: protein RRP6-like 3
Exons: 13
Source: RefSeq, a predicted model, not a curated record
CCAAAUUCGGCGAACCAAACCGAUUCUUGGGCGAGUUUGACCGGUCCAAUAAGACCGCCGUCGCCUCGCAGCUGCCGAGACGAAGCAGCUCUCGCGAAUGGAGGCGGCGAUCGGCGUCGAGACGCUUAAUGCGUUUCUUGUCAUCGCAUUCCUUGCUGUUUUAUUCAUGUUUUCGUCCUCGAUCCGCCGCCAUCGGCGACGGAAGAUGGCCGACGGCUGCAACUGCUACCCCGAUCUCGAGGACAAACCGCAGAACCGAUUUAAGCGCGUUCUUGCUGACAACUCUUACUCCCCCUUCAGGCAUUUUAAGCGGGAGGGCAAAGAGAAAGAAAUUUCUUUAAGGAUUCACCCCUUUGCAAGAGAAAUUGAUUACUUGUUGAAGCAUCCACCUGAUCUUAAAACAUUCAUCACAAGUCACAGAAAUCCAAACUCGAGUUGUCAUUUUGUUUGGAUAGAUACUGAAGAUCAGUUAGAGGCACUUGCAAACAUAUUAAACGAAGAGGAAAUCUUUGCUGUUGAUACUGAACAACAUAGUAUUCGGUCAUUCCUUGGUUUUACUUCCCUUAUACAGAUUUCUACUUGGAAGGAAGAUUACUUAAUAGAUACAAUUGCUCUGCAUGAUAUGAUGGCCACUCUACGACCUGUUUUUGCUAAUCCUGCAAUUAUCAAGGUUUUUCAUGGAGCUGAUAAUGAUGUUCUUUGGCUUCAACGAGACUUCCAUAUAUAUGUUGUGAACAUGUUUGAUACUGCAAAGGCAUGUGAAAUUUUGUCAAAGCCACAAAAAUCAUUAGCAUAUCUUCUGGAGACUUAUUGUGGAGUAUAUACUGACAAAACUUUACAGCGUGAAGAUUGGAGAUUACGACCUCUUUCAGAUGAAAUGACUGAAUAUGCUCGUAAUGAUGCGCACUAUUUGUUGUACAUUGCUGGAUGUUUGGCUUCAGAGUUGGAAAGUAAAACCUCUGAUAUUUCAGCCUCUCCCAGCGACGAGUUGAAUUUUUUCUUGGAGACCAGUCGUCGGUCAAACACAGUCUGUUUGCAGCUUUAUGUGAAAGAAGUUGAAUCUACUCCUGGAGCUUCAGCUGCAUCAUCUAUAUUAUCACGGAAUAUGAACAUUGUAGGACUCACAUCAUCAAAGAAUUUGGAAACAAAGGAUCUUAUCUGGAUUUUAUGUGCAUGGAGAGAUCUGAUUGCUCGAAUUCAUGAUGAGAGCUUGCGAUAUGUUCUGUCAGAUCAAGCUAUUGCAGCUCUUGCUGUAAUAGCUCCCAAAAAUCCAUCAGAAAUAUAUAAUGUUAUAUUGCAAGCUGACACGAGUAAUGUUUCUUCAAAUGCUUAUCCCACCCUUCCAUCACCAUCACCUAUUAUUAAGAAUCAUAUGGAUGACCUUUGCUUUCUUCUACUAGAAGUUGAUGCUAAUGUGGAUGAUGUCAUUCAAACAUAUUGGCAGAAGCACCUAAAUGGUGCUCAGUGUUGUCCACUGUCACCUUACAAUUAUGCUCUUUUGUCUCAAUUCAAUCUGAAACAUUCUGGUAUGUCAUUUUCGAAGUCAAGUGUCGAAAAGUUUAAUUCAACAGUAAGCAAAAAAGCCUCCCGUGAACUCUUUAUUCAGAAAUUUUCAUGCAAGUCACCAGUGUAUCAUAAUUGUAGAAUUUAUGCAACUCAUGGAAGAAUGCUCUGUUAUUGUGAUCGCAAGAAACUCGAAUGGUAUCUGCGGAGAGGUUUGGCAAAAAUGGUAGAUGAGGAUCCUCCAGCAAUUAUGCUUCUUUUUGAAACAAAAGGUCGUCCAGAAGAUGAAGGUAAUGAGUUCUAUAUUCAAAGCAAGAAAAACAUGUGUGUUGGAUGUGGGGAGAAGAGUCACUAUAUACGCUAUAGAAUAAUACCAUCUUGCUACAGAAUGCACUUUCCUGAGCAUUUGAAGAGUCAUCGUUCUCAUGACAUUGUUUUGCUAUGUGUGGACUGCCAUGAAAUAGCUCAUUCUGCUGCUGAGAAGUAUAAGAAGCAAGUGGCACAAGAAUUUGGAAUACCUCUUUUUGUGCAAAAAAUUGUUAAUUCUGGUGAAAGUACAGCUGCAACUGUGGCUUCAACAUCAAUGAGUGCAGAUGAGGAGACUGGUGUCUCUCCUUUGCAGUUACGAACUGCUGCUAUGGCUCUUCUACGUCAUGGAUCCAACAUGCCAUCAGGAAGGCUGGAGGAACUGAUGCAGAUUGUGAGGACAUACUUUGGUAGACAGGAGGUUUCUGUGGAAGAUCUGGAAGCUGCAUUACUUGUUGGUAUGAGUCCACAUGAGAGAAGACGGUUCGAGAAGAAAAGAGGUUUAUCAUUUAGACAUACUGAGCAGAAUGUUGUAUAUAAAAAUCAUAUAUCUAGUUCUUCACAGAUCAAUAAUCAUAACAAAGAGAAGGAUAAGGAAAGUAUAAAUGAUCAGAGAAUCCAUUCAAAUUUGUCUCCUGUUGAUACGAAUGGGAAUUUGUUACUCGAGACUUUUGGUUCUAGUAGCAUCCAGAUUUUGAACAGGGAAGUAGAAAUUGAACAAGGAAACGCUUCCUAUCUGAAAAUGGAUAUUGAAAAUGAGGAUCAAUUAGAUGAUUCUAGUGUGAAUUUACUACUCAUGCCUGAUGAGAUCACCUCCUCAGAAACUGCAAAAAAGAUGUCACUGUUAGGACAUGGACCACAUGGGAAACAAGUGGUGGAGCAUUUAUUAAGAAGGUACAGAGAGGAAGGAGUCCGCCAAUUUUGUCAAAGGUGGAGAAAAGUGUUUGUUGAUGCCAUUCAUCCUCGUUUCUUGCCAUUGGGUUGGGAUAUAAUGCACAGAGGUAUCAUGGAUAUCUGCCAAAUUAAGCUUUUGGCAUCAAUUGCAUCUAUUGUAGCCCACUCCAGACCCAACUAGAAAUCCGAAUCCCUCCUAAAUCAUCACGAAUCACUUUGGUUCGGUCUGGAUUCUCACUAUCAGCGGACGCAGGGAUUUCGGUGACUAUAGUGUUUAUAAUCCCGCCAAGAAGGCUCUCCCAGAAACCAACAUGGUAGACUAGAAGUCUACGCAUAGCAUCGGUAACAUUCCUUGGCUUUGAAUUUCCUAAAACCAGUAGAGAGCUGCAUUUGUUAGUUCGUUCUUGAUUCAGAGAGAGAAAAAAUGACCUCUUUGUUGUUGUAAUCGAAAUCUAAACUGAUUGAUUAUGUGUAAUCUUGUUGUUUCUUUGGGUAAACGAUAAAGUAAUGGUAUGCAUUUGUUCCAACCUAA